AGCAGUCGCCACGGUAAUACGGAGGGUGCAAGCGUUAAUCGGAAUUACUGGGCGUAAAGCGCACGCAGGCGGUCUGACAAGUCAGAUGUGAAAUCCCCGGGCUUAACCUGGGAACUGCAUUUGAAACUGUCAGGCUGGAGUCUUGUAGAGGGGGGUGGAAUUCCAGGUGUAGCGGUGAAAUGCGUAGAGAUCUGGAGGAAUACCGGUGGCGAAGGCGGCCCCCUGGACAAAGACUGACGCUCAGGUGCGAAAGCGUGGGGAGCAAACAGGAUUAGAUACCCCUGUAGUCCCUGUCUCUUAUAU
This 303-nucleotide ribosomal RNA is filed under the name uncultured bacterium. RNAcentral's name for it is "partial 16S ribosomal RNA". It matches the Rfam family "Bacterial small subunit ribosomal RNA", at positions 507 to 809 of the family's 1533-position model. The record is from RNAcentral.